RNAcentral lists this long non-coding RNA (447 nucleotides) under Ananas comosus (pineapple). RNAcentral's name for it is "long non-coding RNA (ACOM_LNC008487)". Lineage: Eukaryota; Viridiplantae; Streptophyta; Magnoliopsida; Poales; Bromeliaceae. The record is from RNAcentral.
UAGUAAAAUUUUAUAUUUUAAAUUCAUAGUUACAUAUAUUUUAAAUUUAUAUUUAUAUUUUUAAUUUUUAAAUUUCAUAAUUAUUUUAAAUUUUAAAUUUUUAAAAUUUUAAAUUAUUUUUUAAAUUAAAAUAUCAAAUUUUAAAUUUUGUACAAUUUUAGAAUUUUAAAAUUUUAAUUUUAAUUGAAAUUUAAAUUUAGAUUUUAAAUUAUUUUAAAUUAAAAUUUAAUAAAAAUAUAAAUUUAUGCAAACAUCAAAAAAAAUUUGCUAAACAGUUUUUAAAAUCACUUCAGAAAAAAUCACUUUUAUUUAAACUCCGCCAAACGCUCUACAGUUUUUAACCAAAUCACUUCUCCAAACCAAAAUCACUUAUUUAGAAAUUAUUUUUUCAGAAGCUAGGUCAAACAGGCCCAUAAUAUGAUAUAUGACUUUGAUGAUGCAUUAAAA